GCCUCUGAAAAAACAGGGGGGGGGGAGAAAAUACUGCAUAUCAUAUACCUGAAAGGGGUUUCAUCUCCAAAAUAUAUAAGAACUCCUCGAAUGUAAAACAAAAACAGGCGAAGGAUUUGCAUAGACAUUUCUCCAAAGAAGGUAUAGCAAUGACCAUCAAGCAAAUGCAAAAAUACUCAACUUCACUAAAUCUCAGGGAAAUGCAAAUCAAAACCACAAUGAGGUAUCACCUCACACCUGUCAGGAUGGCUAUUUAUCAGAAUAGGUAAGUGUUGAUGAGGCCAUGAGAAACGGGAACCCUUGAAGCAAAAUGCUGUAGCUUCGAAGGAAAACAAUUAGAAAUCUUCCCCCCAAAAAAGGCAGAAAUGCUCUAUGAUCCCAGAGUGUUACUCUCACUGCUGGGUAUUAAUAUAAAAGAACUGAAAUCAGGAUCCCAAAGAGACCUGUUAGCACUUCUGAGUUUUUUACUUUUCUCAGACUGCUGCCCUGCUCCCGACAGCACUUGGGUCCCCGCUGCUUUUAAACUCCCAAUAAACCCUCCUCUCCCCGAGCCCAUGGAUCCCAGGCAGCAUCCUAGGCACCCCUCACCCCACCCCACUCCCUACCCCGACCCAAAUCUGCCUUGCCGGAGAAUUAUGCUCCUUGCCUGGGGUCUCAGGUCAGGACAAGCCCUAGAUGAAUGAGUCCAGCGACCUGCGCGAGGUCCAGGCACGCCGGGCUGAGGGGAAAUCAGCCGGUCAGGCGGCCGCGCUCCCCGAAGCAGCGUGACCCGGGGGCGUGGGGGUACGACUCGCUGUGCGCUCCCCGCGCCUGGCUUCCCUGGGCGGCUGCCAGUCCCACGCUGCCGGUAGGGGCGGAGCGCGGCCUUUUUUGGUCUGGGGAGGAGUGGCUGCGCGGCCCCGUGUUCCCUCGGCCUGAACUCCGCCGCCUGGCUGUGGGCUGUCACUUGCGCCCCGCGUCCUGGCUCUGCGCGCCUCCCCUCUUUCCCGCGUGCACCCGGCCUGAGCCCCGGUCCUCGGGAGCAGCUGCCAGUGUGCACACCCUCCUAUCUCCCUAUCCGACCACAUGGGCCCCGGGGCCAUCUGCCCGUGGAGGGGCCCCCUGCCCCGCCUCCAGGUCUGGACCUGGAUCGAGCCGGUGGUGGCCUCCAACCAGGUGGCCACCUCCCUCUACGACGCGGGGCUGCUCCUCGUGGUGAAGGCAUCCUUCGGAGUCGGGGCCUUCUCCAACCACAGCGCCAGCCCGUCACCCAGGGGGGCACUAGAGGACCAACAGCAGAGGGCCCUCUCCAACUUCUAUAUCAUCUACAACCUUGUGAUGGGCCUGACGCCCUUGCUGUCAGCCUACUGGCUGGGCUGGCUCAGCGACCGCUACCACCGCAAGAUCGCCAUCUGCGUGCCGCUGCUGGGCUUCCUGCUCUCCCGCCUCGCGCUGCUGCUCAAAGUGCUGCUGGACUGGCCGGUGGAGAUGCUCUACGGGGCCGCGGCGCUGAACGGGCUGUGCGGUGGCUUCUCAGCGUUCUGGUCGGGGGUCAUGGCCCUGGGGUCCCUCGGCUCCUCCGAGGGCCGCCGCUCCCUGCGUCUCAUCCUGAUUGACCUGAUCCUGGGCUUGGCAGGCUUCUGUGGCAGCAUGGUCUCCGGGCAUCUCUUCAAGCAGAUGGUUGGGCACACCAGGCAGGGCCUGGUGCUGACCGCCUGCAGUGUGAGCUGUGCCAGUUGUGCCCUUUUCUACAGCCUCUUGGUGCUGAAAGUCCCUGAAUCCAUGGCCAAGCCCAGCAAGACCGCGGAUACAGUGUCGGGCACAGUCGGCACGUAUCGCACCCUGGAUCCUGAUCAGCCAGCCAGCCAGAGUGUAGUGGGGCACCCUCCGGCUCCUGGAAAAGCACGGCCCCAAAAAACCAUCAUCGCUCUGCUCUUUGUGGGUGCCGUCAUAUAUGACCUGGCGGUGGUGGGCACGGUGGACGUGAUCCCCCUCUUUGUGCUGAGGGAGCCUCUCAGUUGGAACCAGGUGCAGGUGGGCUACGGUAUGGCUGCGGGGUACACCAUCUUCAUCACCAGCUUCCUGGGCGUCCUGGUCUUCUCCCGCUGCUUCCGCGACACAACCAUGAUUAUGAUUGGGAUGGUCUCCUUUGGGUCCGGGGCCCUCCUCUUGGCUUUUGUGAAAGAGACGUACAUGUUCUACAUUGCUCGGGCCGCUAUGCUGUUCGCUCUCAUCCCCAUCACAACCAUCCGAUCUGCAAUGUCCAAACUCAUCAAAGGCUCCUCUUACGGAAAGGUGUUUGUCAUCCUGCAGCUGUCCCUGGCUCUGACCGGGGUGGUGACAUCCACGGUGUACAAUGAGAUCUAUCAGCUCACCAUGGAAAAAUUCGUGGGCACCUGCUUUGCGCUCUCCUCCUUCCUCUCCUUCCUGGCCAUCAUCCCCAUUGGGUAUGCCAAGAGGCUUUGCCUUCUUUGAGACUUUGGGGUCCAUGAAGCAGGCGUGCUCCUCUUGACGUCUCACCCCAGUGUACCAGCAUUGUGGCCACGAAGCAAGCCUCGUUGUUGCAGUAUGGUGACACGGCAGAGAAAUGAAGGUGCUGAUCUGCGGGAGUCGAAAACACCCAGCCGUGGCCGGGCCCCUCCAAAGACCCAGGAAGAGACCAGGAACUGGGGACCAAAGCGGCUCCUUGCCCAAGAAACCCGAGUUGGCUUCAGACUGACCUGCUCUGGUGCAGGGCUCUCCCUGGUGGGUGGGGAAAGCACUUUCCUGGUGAUGGAGGAACUUUCUGAGCUUUCAGACAUUGAAAUUAGAUAGAGGUGAGGUUCUGCAGGCAGGAGAGCUCAACUUGCACGGGCGAUACGCAGGCUGCACCCACAGCCAGACCAGACCCCGAAGCCUCUUUCUUCGAGGACCAUUCGCUGAGGCCUCCCGCAUGGGGCCAACUAGUCACCUAGGGAGUCCAAGCCCCACAUUUUCAACAGCCCGAGGGAUAAUGCGGAGGGGAGGUUUGGUAAGAACUGCCAACAGUGGGCAUUCCAUCAAUCUUUGUUAAAUGAAAAUAUAACCUUGAAGGAAAGUUACUUUCUUCCCUGAGCCUGUGUUACCUGCGAACAGCUCCAGAGAGAGCUGGACCCCUGGCACUUGGCUUCAGGGUUGUUUUGUUGUUUCGAAGAAGCAACUAUCCCAAAGCUUUCUUCAAUGGACUAUAUGAAAUUUGAUACUUCAGUCAACAGUCCUUUCCAAACUGAGAGGUAUGAAGGGAGAGGGGAGUGGAAAUAUGCGAAGAGGCCUUUUAUUUUGAGGUACUUAUUUUUAUAGCCUAUUUUACGACUAUAAAGGCAGCCUCACCUGCUAAUAAAAUCAACGUUCAUAACA
Molecule: RNA transcript, 3354 nt
Organism: Sus scrofa (pig)
Lineage: Eukaryota; Metazoa; Chordata; Mammalia; Artiodactyla; Suidae
Gene: SLC46A2
Gene name: solute carrier family 46 member 2
Source: RefSeq, a predicted model, not a curated record